RNAcentral lists this ribosomal RNA (253 nucleotides) under uncultured bacterium. Its description in RNAcentral is "partial 16S ribosomal RNA". It matches the Rfam family "Bacterial small subunit ribosomal RNA", at positions 524 to 776 of the family's 1533-position model. The record is from RNAcentral.
UACGAAGGGGGCUAGCGUUGCUCGGAAUCACUGGGCGUAAAGGGCGCGUAGGCGGCGUUUUAAGUCGGGGGUGAAAGCCUGUGGCUCAACCACAGAAUGGCCUUCGAUACUGGGACGCUUGAGUAUGGUAGAGGUUGGUGGAACUGCGAGUGUAGAGGUGAAAUUCGUAGAUAUUCGCAAGAACACCGGUGGCGAAGGCGGCCAACUGGACCAUUACUGACGCUGAGGCGCGAAAGCGUGGGGAGCAAAAGGG